AGCGAACGCUGGCGGCAGGCCUAACACAUGCAAGUCGAACGGAUCCUUCGGGAUUAGUGGCGGACGGGUGAGUAACACGUGGGAACGUGCCCUUUGGUUCGGAACAGCUCAGGGAAACUUGAGCUAAUACCGGAUGUGCCCUUCGGGGGAAAGAUUUAUCGCCAUUGGAGCGGCCCGCGUCUGAUUAGCUAGUUGGUGAGGUAAAGGCUCACCAAGGCGACGAUCAGUAGCUGGUCUGAGAGGGUGAUCAGCCACAUUGGGACUGAGACACGGCCCAAACUCCUACGGGAGGCAGCAGUGGGGAAUCUUGCGCAAUGGGCGAAAGCCUGACGCAGCCAUGCCGCGUGAAUGAUGAAGGUCUUAGGGUUGUAACAUUCUUUCACCGGGGACGAUAAUGACGGUACCCGGAGAAGAAGCCCCGGCUAACUUCGUGCCAGCCGCCGCCGUAA
RNAcentral lists this ribosomal RNA (449 nucleotides) under uncultured bacterium. RNAcentral describes it as "partial 16S ribosomal RNA". It matches the Rfam family "Bacterial small subunit ribosomal RNA", at positions 29 to 523 of the family's 1533-position model. The record is from RNAcentral.